RNAcentral lists this transfer RNA (75 nucleotides) under Candidatus Magasanikbacteria bacterium RIFOXYA2_FULL_44_8. RNAcentral describes it as "tRNA-Gly". It matches the Rfam family "tRNA". Rfam says of the family: Transfer RNA (tRNA) molecules are approximately 80 nucleotides in length. Their secondary structure includes four short double-helical elements and three loops (D, anti-codon, and T loops). Further hydrogen bonds mediate the characteristic L-shaped molecular structure. tRNAs have two regions of fundamental functional importance: the anti-codon, which is responsible for specific mRNA codon recognition, and the 3' end, to which the tRNAs corresponding amino acid is attached (by aminoacyl-tRNA synthetases). tRNAs cope with the degeneracy of the genetic code in two manners: having more than one tRNA (with a specific anti-codon) for a particular amino acid; and 'wobble' base-pairing, i.e. permitting non-standard base-pairing at the 3rd anti-codon position. The record is from RNAcentral. Lineage: Bacteria; Candidatus Magasanikiibacteriota.
GCGGGUGUAGUACAAUGGUUAGUAUACGACCUUGCCAAGGUUGAGAUGAGGGUUCGAUUCCCUUCACCCGCUCAA